This 1283-nucleotide ribosomal RNA is filed under the name Bacillus sp. (in: firmicutes). RNAcentral describes it as "bacterial SSU rRNA". It matches the Rfam family "Bacterial small subunit ribosomal RNA", at positions 87 to 1357 of the family's 1533-position model. The record is from RNAcentral. Lineage: Bacteria; Bacillati; Bacillota; Bacilli; Caryophanales; Bacillaceae.
GAUGGUUAGCGGCGGACGGGUGAGUAACACGUGGGUAACCUGCCUGUAAGACUGGGAUAACUCCGGGAAACCGGAGCUAAUACCGGAUAGUUCCUUGAACCGCAUGGUUCAAGGAUGAAAGACGGUUUCGGCUGUCACUUACAGAUGGACCCGCGGCGCAUUAGCUAGUUGGUGGGGUAAUGGCUCACCAAGGCGACGAUGCGUAGCCGACCUGAGAGGGUGAUCGGCCACACUGGGACUGAGACACGGCCCAGACUCCUACGGGAGGCAGCAGUAGGGAAUCUUCCGCAAUGGACGAAAGUCUGACGGAGCAACGCCGCGUGAGUGAUGAAGGUUUUCGGAUCGUAAAGCUCUGUUGUUAGGGAAGAACAAGUGCGAGAGUAACUGCUCGCACCUUGACGGUACCUAACCAGAAAGCCACGGCUAACUACGUGCCAGCAGCCGCGGUAAUACGUAGGUGGCAAGCGUUGUCCGGAAUUAUUGGGCGUAAAGGGCUCGCAGGCGGUUUCUUAAGUCUGAUGUGAAAGCCCCCGGCUCAACCGGGGAGGGUCAUUGGAAACUGGGAAACUUGAGUGCAGAAGAGGAGAGUGGAAUUCCACGUGUAGCGGUGAAAUGCGUAGAGAUGUGGAGGAACACCAGUGGCGAAGGCGACUCUCUGGUCUGUAACUGACGCUGAGGAGCGAAAGCGUGGGGAGCGAACAGGAUUAGAUACCCUGGUAGUCCACGCCGUAAACGAUGAGUGCUAAGUGUUAGGGGGUUUCCGCCCCUUAGUGCUGCAGCUAACGCAUUAAGCACUCCGCCUGGGGAGUACGGUCGCAAGACUGAAACUCAAAGGAAUUGACGGGGGCCCGCACCAGCGGUGGAGCAUGUGGUUUAAUUCGAAGCAACGCGAAGAACCUUACCAGGUCUUGACAUCCUCUGACAACCCUAGAGAUAGGGCUUUCCCUUCGGGGACAGAGUGACAGGUGGUGCAUGGUUGUCGUCAGCUCGUGUCGUGAGAUGUUGGGUUAAGUCCCGCAACGAGCGCAACCCUUGAUCUUAGUUGCCAGCAUUUAGUUGGGCACUCUAAGGUGACUGCCGGUGACAAACCGGAGGAAGGUGGGGAUGACGUCAAAUCAUCAUGCCCCUUAUGACCUGGGCUACACACGUGCUACAAUGGACAGAACAAAGGGCUGCGAGACCGCAAGGUUUAGCCAAUCCCAUAAAUCUGUUCUCAGUUCGGAUCGCAGUCUGCAACUCGACUGCGUGAAGCUGGAAUCGCUAGUAAUCGCGGAUCAGCAUGC